CCUGGGAAAGGAGCCUGCCAAGCUGCAGAGGAACUAUUUCAGGGACGUUUGAGCAGUGUGUGUGGUGUGUUUUGUUUUGAUCUUCCUGCAGCACCUGCAAGAUACCCAAUGGGUACCAAUAAGCAAGGGGUGGAAAGGUGCUUUCAGUAACCUGAGAGUACGCCCUCCCACAAACAAGCAUGGCCCUCCAGGCAGAAGUAGAGCCCUUGCAGCGAGCCCUAUCCCCAGCAGGAUGAAGCAAUCAGCAUCCACUGAGCAGAGCCUCGCGGAGGGGAACUUGUUGCCGUUUCAUUCUGCAGCUGAAGAAACAUACAGCAGUGGCAGGGAGCCUUGGGGCAGCUGAUUUAAGGAUCAGUUUUGCAAGCUGUUCCUUACUAUCUGGCAUUCAUAAAAUUCACCUUGAGUAAUAGUUAUUUUUCUGCUGAACUCAAACUUCUGCCAGCGGAGCAUCAUGCUGGCUGAAUGUCUCCAGGCCAUCUCCCGAGCAGCACCAGGUGGUACCAGCCAUGCUGGAUCCAAGGAGUAGCACCUUUAUCCCCCGUCAGUUAAGAUCUUCUCUCCUUUCUGAGGAACCCUGCUAACACCAGCAGUAAAUGCUCUCCCCCAGAGAAAGCCUCCCACCAUCCUCUGCCCUGUUCUGAGAAAUGAGUUAGGAUUAAAAGAGCGUAAUUGCUUCUGGGGGGUUGUUUUGUGGCCAGUCAUGUGGUGGAAUACUUUGGACAGAAAUUUUAAUUUAAUGCAGAGUUGCUAAUCAACAUCAAACACAUGAAUGUCAGUGGCUGAUAAAUUUAAUUGGGUGUUUGUUUAAAAGUAUUGCAGGAAGUAUGUGCUUGAAGCAUCAAAGAGUGGGUUUUAGAACUUCAAACAGUACUCUGGUUACAUUUUUGGCAAGGGCUGUCACCAGAUCCGUGGUGUUUGGCUGCUCUAGUGGUACUUAUUGCAUCAGUUUCUCUAAUUGUGCAGUGUUUACUAAAAUAUGUAUCUAUGUAAACAGAUUUAUGAAGAAUGAUGCUAAAAGAGCACUGUAAUGGUGGGUGACAAAGGCAUGGUUAGGUGACACAAGCGUCAAGGAUGUCUGCUGAAUCUUAAUUUGCUUCUCCUUUCAUCCCAGCCCCAUACACUGUGGACACAAUUCUUUGUGUCAUCACACACUGCAUUUCUGGCAAGACCAUGAAUGCAUAAAGCAGAUUGUCUCUGGUGGGAAGGUGGAACUGUGGAGAGAGGCUGAUACCUUCAAUGGAGAGGAACAUUACCUGCUCUUCCUGUCCACAGGUGGGUAGGACAAAAGGUUGAAGCUAUGUGAAGGAGACAUAGGUUAGGCUACGUGAAGAUAUUGCAAAGAGUUCUGUAAACAGCAAUAAAUAUUACUUGGAAAGAUGGAGGAAUCGCCAGUCCUCAGAGUGUGAGAUAUGGGAUAAGGAAGGGCCAGCUGUUUCUGCACAAAAGGGAGUGGACUAGGUGCCUUCCACAUCCCUUCCAUUCAUUCCCAUUUACCCUGGAUCUGUUUUCUACGUCUUCUUCACUAACAGCAGAAGUUAAAAGGCAUGUGGUGAGUGAGACAGGCAUUGGUAGAAUGGAAAGAAGUCUUUGGCAGCUGAACACGGCCUGAGAGAAAGGGGAUCCCUUCCUAGCCUAGGCCAUGGAGCUCCUGUGAGGUGCUGCAGAUGGUCCUGCAGCCAUCAGUCACUCCCGUUUUAAGGUCUAGGUGUGCCCACCCACAGUCUCAUUUGAAACACUCAACCCUCAAAAUUUAAACAGAAAUUAGCAGAAUGUGCUCUGAAUGCAUAAUUUUGACCUCUCUGGAAAGCUACGUCUUCCUGUGCAUCAGUUGCCUUUCUGUAAAAUGAGGACAAUACAGCAUUUUUGGGGGGAUUGCAUAAGUUUAAUAUUCCCAAAGCACUUGGAUGUAGUGGCACACGGCGUGGAUGAGGCCACAAGGAAAAGACGAAUU
Oxyura jamaicensis (ruddy duck) is the source of this 1951-nucleotide long non-coding RNA. RefSeq lists it as uncharacterized. The record is from RefSeq and is a predicted model, not a curated record. The transcript is spliced from 3 exons. Lineage: Eukaryota; Metazoa; Chordata; Aves; Anseriformes; Anatidae.